Non-coding RNA from Podarcis lilfordi (Lilford's wall lizard), 74 nucleotides. Lineage: Eukaryota; Metazoa; Chordata; Lepidosauria; Squamata; Lacertidae. The record is from the annotation of a GenBank genome assembly.
ACCCUGAACAGCUCAGUUGAUAGAGCAUAGGACUUUUAAUUUCAGGGUUGUGGGUUUGAGCCACACGCUGGGUG